Molecule: ribosomal RNA, 40 nt
Filed under: Cyanthillium cinereum
Lineage: Eukaryota; Viridiplantae; Streptophyta; Magnoliopsida; Asterales; Asteraceae
Description: partial 26S ribosomal RNA
Source: RNAcentral
GCGACCCCAGGUCAGACGGGACUACCCGCUGAGUUUAAGC